AACGAACGCUGGCGGCGCGCCUAAUACAUGCAAGUCGAGCGAGAAGGUGUAGCAAUACACUUGUAAAGCGGCGAACGGGUGAGGAAUGCAUGGGUAACCUACCCUCGAGUGGGGAAUAACUAGCCGAAAGGUUAGCUAAUACCGCAUACGUUUCCGGAACUUCGGUUUCGGAAAGAAAGCAAUACCGUGGGUAUUGCGCUCCUGGAUGGGCUCAUGUCCUAUCAGCUUGUUGGUGAGGUAACGGCUCACCAAGGCUUCGACGGGUAGCUGGUCUGAGAGGACGAUCAGCCACACUGGCACUGCGACACGGGCCAGACUCCUACGGGAGGCAGCAGUAAGGAAUAUUGCGCAAUGGACGAAAGUCUGACGCAGCGACGCCGCGUGGGGGAUGAAGGUCUUCGGAUUGUAAACCCCUUUCGGGAGGGAGAUGGAGUGGGUAACCACUUGGACGGUACCUCCAGAAGCAGCCACGGCUAACUUCGUGCCAGCAGCCGCGGUAA
RNAcentral lists this ribosomal RNA (500 nucleotides) under uncultured bacterium. Its description in RNAcentral is "bacterial SSU rRNA". It matches the Rfam family "Bacterial small subunit ribosomal RNA", at positions 29 to 523 of the family's 1533-position model. The record is from RNAcentral.